Cinara cedri is the source of this 255-nucleotide non-coding RNA. Lineage: Eukaryota; Metazoa; Arthropoda; Insecta; Hemiptera; Aphididae. The record is from the annotation of a GenBank genome assembly.
CGGGCGGGAUGUGUUAGCAUGUGUUGUCUCCGUCUUACAAACGUAUUACGAUGUAGUAAAUUUACCUUCAGCAGGGACAACAUGGUGCUGUUGGUUUAAAUAUUAGACAUAUUUCGUACGACGAGUAGGCCAUUGAUGUAGGUGAUAGAAAUUGUGAGAGUAGAAUAUAGAGGGAAAUAUAAUUUGUAUAUCUAUAUGUAACGAAAAACGACUCGGUGUGAAUUUUGGUUGAACAUGAUUUGAAUGGCCGUAAUA